CGCAUGCGUGUAACGAACGUUGCAAGCACGUUCGAUUCAAAAUUCUGUUCUUGUCAAAAGUUUUUAGAAAUAUUUAUUUUAACAGCUUUUAUCUGCUUAAAACCUCGCUAUUUUCCUAUGAAACAGUGUGCUGGGUAAUAAAUAAAGCAAACGGAAUAGCAUUUGUUGGAGUAUUAAGUGUUUUUUAUUAAGAAAUAAGCAGAAUAUAUCAUGUCUUUAGCGGAUGAAUUACUAGCAGAUCUGGAAGAGAUUGGAGACGAAGGCAAUGUCGACCUUAUCGACAAUGACAACAUCGAAGAAGCAAUGGAAACUAGCGAUAGUUUCGACACGAAAUCCGUUAAGCACAUCGCUAAGCUAAGAGAUGGCAAACAGCUAAGUGAUGUCCUUGAAAAGAUCCAGGAAUUCUCUCAGACACCCAGAGGACAAAUGUUUGGACCAAGUGAAACAGACCCGGAGUAUCAGCUUAUUGUUGAAGCUAAUAAUCUCACUGUAGAAAUUGAUAACGAGAUUAGUAUUAUACAUAAAUACACCAGAGAUCAGUAUGCGAAACGAUUUCCCGAGUUGGAAUCGCUCGUUCCUAGCGCGUUAGAUUACAUUAAGACCAUUCAAUUACUCGAUAACGACCUUGAGGUUGCUAACGUUGACCUAACAGAGAUCUUACCUCCUGCGACAAAGAUGGUCGUUAGUGUAACAGCGUCAACAACGCAAGGGGAACGUUUGGAAAACGAUGAACUCGAGCGAGUUAUGGAAGCUUGUCAAAUGGCGUUAGAUCUCGUCGAAGCUAAAGCAAAGAUUUUUAAAUAUGUUGAGUCGCGUAUGUCAUUUAUUGCACCAAACACAUCCUGGAUUGUAGGGGCGACUGCUGCUGCCAAGCUGAUGGGGAGUGCCGGGGGUUUAACAGGAUUGUCCAAAAUGCCAGCCUGUAAUGUGCUGUUGUUAGGAUCACAGAGAAAAACCCUGACUGGCUUCUCAAGUGCAGCAAUCAUGCCCCACACCGGUCAUAUUUAUCACUGUGAUUUAGUUCAG
Paramuricea clavata is the source of this 1026-nucleotide non-coding RNA. Lineage: Eukaryota; Metazoa; Cnidaria; Anthozoa; Malacalcyonacea; Plexauridae. The record is from the annotation of a GenBank genome assembly.